GAUGAACGCUGGCGGCGUGCCUAAUACAUGCAAGUCGAGCGAACGGACGAGAAGCUUGCUUCUCUGAUGUUAGCGGCGGACGGGUGAGUAACACGUGUAUAACCUACCUAUAAGACUGGGAUAACUUCGGGAAACCGGAGCUAAUACCGGCUAAUAUUUUCAACCGCAUGGUUCAAAAGUGACAGACGGUCUUGCUGUCACUUAUAGAUGGAUCCGCUCUGCAUUAGCUAGUGGGUAAGGUAACGGCUUACCAAGGCAACGAUGCAUAGCCGAUCUGAGAGGGUGAUCAGCCACACUGGAACUGAGACACGGUCCAGACUCCUACGGGAGGCAGCAGUAGGGAAUAUUGCGCAAUGGGCGAAAGCCUGACGGAGCAAUGCCGCGUGUGUGAUGAAGGUCUUCGGGUCGUAAAACUCUGUUAGCAGGGAAGAACAUAUGUGUAAGAAACUCUGCACACAUUGACGGUACCUAAAGAGAAAGCCACGGCUAACUACGUG
This 497-nucleotide ribosomal RNA is filed under the name uncultured bacterium. RNAcentral's name for it is "partial 16S ribosomal RNA". It matches the Rfam family "Bacterial small subunit ribosomal RNA", at positions 28 to 507 of the family's 1533-position model. The record is from RNAcentral.